CCUACGGGUGGCAGCAGGGAGGAAUAGUGGGCAAUGGACGAGAGUCUGAACCAGCCAAGUAGCGUGAAGGAGGAAGGCCCAAGGGGUGGUAAACUUCGGUUAUAGGGGAAUAAAAUGUUACACGUGUGGGAUUUUGUAUGUACCAUAUGAAUAAGGAUCGGCUAACGCCGUGCCAGCAGCCGCGGUAAUACGGAGGAUCCGAGCGUUAUCCGGAUUUAUUGGGUUUAAAGGGAGCGUAGGUGGGUUGUUAAGUCAGUUGUGAAAGUUUGCGGCUCAACCGUAAAAUUGCCGUUGAAACUGGCAGUCUUGAGUGCAGUAGAGGUGGGCGGAAUGCGUGGUGUAGCGGUGCACUGCUUAGCUCUCCCGAAGAACUCCGAUUGCGAAGGCAGCUCACUGGACUGCAACUGACACUGAGGCUCGAAAGUGUGGGUAUCAAACAGGAUUAGCUACCCCUGUAGUC
This 460-nucleotide ribosomal RNA is filed under the name uncultured bacterium. RNAcentral's name for it is "partial 16S ribosomal RNA". It matches the Rfam family "Bacterial small subunit ribosomal RNA", at positions 338 to 795 of the family's 1533-position model. The record is from RNAcentral.